AGCCACUCAAGCUUGGCUUGGUGUUGGGGCUCGCGGUCUCGCGGCUCCUAAAUCUAGUGGCGGUGCCGGUAGGCUCUAAGCGUAGUAAAUCUCCUCGCUACAGAGUCCUCUCGGUCUCCUGCCAUAACCCCCAUAUUCUAUA
Molecule: unclassified non-coding RNA, 142 nt
Filed under: uncultured Mollisia
Lineage: Eukaryota; Fungi; Ascomycota; Leotiomycetes; Helotiales; Dermateaceae
Description: sequence contains ITS2
Source: RNAcentral